This 253-nucleotide ribosomal RNA is filed under the name uncultured bacterium. Its description in RNAcentral is "partial 16S ribosomal RNA". It matches the Rfam family "Bacterial small subunit ribosomal RNA", at positions 524 to 776 of the family's 1533-position model. The record is from RNAcentral.
UACGUAGGGGGCGAGCGUUGUCCGGAUUCAUUGGGCGUAAAGAGCUCGUAGGCGGUUUGUUGCGUCGGCUGUGAAAUCCCGAGGCUCAACCUCGGGUCUGCAGUCGAUACGAGUAAACUAGAGUGUUGCAGGGGAGACUGGAAUUCCUGGUGUAGCGGUGAAAUGCGCAGAUAUCAGGAGGAACACCGGUGGCGAAGGCGGGUCUCUGGGCAACAACUGACGCUGAGGAGCGAAAGCGUGGGGAGCGAACAGG